Molecule: ribosomal RNA, 253 nt
Filed under: uncultured bacterium
Lineage: Bacteria
Description: partial 16S ribosomal RNA
Rfam family: Bacterial small subunit ribosomal RNA
Source: RNAcentral
UACAGAGGGGGCAAGCGUUGUUCGGAAUUACUGGGCGUAAAGGGCGCGUAGGCGGCCUUCUAAGUCGAACGUGAAAUCCCCGGGCUCAACCCGGGAACUGCGUCCGAUACUGGAAGGCUUGAAUCCGGGAGAGGGAUGCGGAAUUCCAGGUGUAGCGGUGAAAUGCGUAGAUAUCAUUUGGAACGCCAAUGGUGAAAACAGGUUGCUGGGAGUGUGCUGACGCUGAGACACGAAAGCCAGGGGAGCGAACGGG